RNAcentral lists this ribosomal RNA (418 nucleotides) under uncultured bacterium. RNAcentral describes it as "bacterial SSU rRNA". It matches the Rfam family "Bacterial small subunit ribosomal RNA", at positions 39 to 502 of the family's 1533-position model. The record is from RNAcentral.
GCGGCACGCCUAACACAUGCAAGUCGAACGAAGUAGCAAUACUUAGUGGCAGACGGGUGAGUAACAUGUGGGUAUCUGCCCUUUGGCCUGGAAUAACACGAGGAAACUUGUGCUAAUACCGGAUAAGUCUUUACGGAGAAAGCUUUAUGCACCAUUGGAUGAGCCCGCACUUGAUUAGUUUGUUGGUAGGGUAAUGGCCUACCAAGACUGUGAUCAAUAGCUGAUUUGAGAGGAUGAUCAGCCACAUUGGGACUGAGACACGGCCCAAACUCCUACGGGAGGCAGCAGUGGGGAAUCUUGCACAAUGGAGGAAACUCUGAUGCAGCGAUGCCGCGUGAGUGAAGAAGGCCUUUGGGUUGUAAAGCUCUUUCGUCGGGGAAGAAAAUGACUGUACCCGAAUAAGAAGGUCCGGCUAACU